CAUUGUCGAAACCUGCGCCACGCAGAAAGACCCGUGAACAAGUUUUCUAACAACUUCGGGCGGGGGUGUGCGCGAGAGCGCUAGCCUCCGACUGACGAGCGUCGGGGGGUGUGACUCCCCGGCCUCAUAACGAACCCCGGCGCGGAAUGCGUCAAGGAAAACGAAAAAUACUGGGAGGAUGCGUUCGCGUGUCUUCCCCAGAAUCGAGUCACAACGACUCUCGGCAACGGAUAUCUCGGCUCUCGCAUCGAUGAAGAACGUAGCGAAAUGCGAUACUUGGUGUGAAUUGCAGAAUCCCGCGAACCAUCGAGUCUUUGAACGCAAGUUGCGCCCGAAGCCUUCGGGCUGAGGGCACGUCUGCCUGGGUGUCACUCAACGUCGCCCUCACCCCACGUACAGUGGGAGGUGGAGCGUAUGAUGGCCUCCCGUGAGCCACUGCUCGCGGUUGGCCCAAAUUUGAGUCCUCGGUGCGGGUUGUGCCACGGCCUGCGGUGGUCGAACGAAUGUGAAGCCCUGACGGACACCGUGCGCACGCCCCGAUCCUAUGCAGGUACUCACGACCCUGAUGCGAUCGAUUUAGAUCGCCCACGAUGCGACCCCAGGUCAGGCGGGACCACCCGCUGAAUUUAAGCAUAUCAAUAAGCGGAGGA
Molecule: ribosomal RNA, 650 nt
Filed under: Tetraena mongolica
Lineage: Eukaryota; Viridiplantae; Streptophyta; Magnoliopsida; Zygophyllales; Zygophyllaceae
Description: eukaryotic LSU rRNA
Rfam family: 5.8S ribosomal RNA (bases 216-371)
Source: RNAcentral